AAAUAUUUUGGUUCCUCACAAGGUGCACACAUUAACGACAAAUGAACCGUAAAAAUCUAUCAUUCAAUGAGUAAAUACUGUAAAUUGUUUCACGUUGAGAUGACAAACAACACAGAUAUCCGUCGUUUGAUGCGUUGAUAAUCAUGUUCGUUUGCUUUAAUACCUAUGUUUUGUUUAGAAACAUUGUGUCUAUGCAAUGUCAGAGAUGUGGGCUUGCGUGCAAGCUUCUUCAACUGUACUUCAACCUGUUUCCCAUUCAUAUUCCUUAUGUCACCUUCAGGAUUUACUCUCCUAUCCACUUGAUAAUCUUGAUUACCCUCAGCAGUCCAUUGUCAGCUUUGAGGUGGCACCUUCUUGAUUGCCUUUUGGACGUCCAAGUAUACAGCAUCUAUAGGUUAUAGCAGUAUGAACAUCCAUCUUGACUUCAUCCAUCUUGCAUUUUACUUCCAUAAAAAACACCACUAAAUUAGUUAAACAUGAUUUCUCUUUCAUAAAACCAUGU
Molecule: non-coding RNA, 502 nt
Organism: Chiloscyllium plagiosum (whitespotted bambooshark)
Lineage: Eukaryota; Metazoa; Chordata; Chondrichthyes; Orectolobiformes; Hemiscylliidae
Source: RefSeq, a predicted model, not a curated record